CCUACGGGAGGCUGCAGUGGGGAAUAUUGGACAAUGGGCGAAAGCCUGAUCCAGUCAUGCCGCGUGUGUGAAGAAGGCCUUCGGGUUGUAAAGCACUUUCAGUGGGGAAGAAAGCCUUGGGGCUAAUACCCUCGAGGAAGGACAUCACCCACAGAAGAAGCACCGGCUAACUCCGUGCCAGCAGCCGCGGUAAUACGGAGGGUGCGAGCGUUAAUCGGAAUUACUGGGCGUAAAGCGCGCGUAGGCGGUCUGAUAAGCCGGUUGUGAAAGCCCCGGGCUCAACCUGGGAACGGCAUCCGGAACUGUCAGGCUAGAGUGCAGGAGAGGAAGGUAGAAUUCCCGGUGUAGCGGUGAAAUGCGUAGAGAUCGGGAGGAAUACCAGUGGCGAAGGCGGCCUUCUGGACUGACACUGACGCUGAGGUGCGAAAGCGUGGGUAGCAAACAGGAUUAGAUACCCGUGUAGUC
Molecule: ribosomal RNA, 465 nt
Filed under: Vreelandella stevensii
Lineage: Bacteria; Pseudomonadati; Pseudomonadota; Gammaproteobacteria; Oceanospirillales; Halomonadaceae
Description: partial 16S ribosomal RNA
Rfam family: Bacterial small subunit ribosomal RNA
Source: RNAcentral